Molecule: long non-coding RNA, 385 nt
Organism: Folsomia candida
Lineage: Eukaryota; Metazoa; Arthropoda; Collembola; Entomobryomorpha; Isotomidae
Exons: 3
Source: RefSeq, a predicted model, not a curated record
UUGAACGAUGAUGCAUUUAACGCUAUCCCUAAAGCCUGAAGUCAUUUCAUAAGGACAGAAAUUUUUUAUAUUGCCAUUCGUGGAGAUGGACGCAAUACGUGGCAUAUUGAUCCACGCAGCAAAUAAACAUACCCUGCAUUGGUUGAGCAGCUCUGUAUGGACUCCCAUCAUCGUACUGACGACGUAUUUUCUAUUAAGCUUCGUGAUAGUGCCAAAGAUUGCAAAAGAUCGAGAACCACUGCAAAUGACAUACUUUCUCCAUUAUUACAAUGCUUUCAUUCUACUGAGCAAUUUUUGCUUACUUAUUUACUUUUUGUAUUACCAAAUCACCGGACGUUUUAGUCCCAUAUGCCAAGCAGUUGGAGGAACUGAUGAGAAAUUGAAU